UCAGAGGUGAUUUCCCAGCUGAAUUGAACCCUGAAGAUGAGGAGGGUGCAAACAGUGACAACCCAAUACUACUUGGUUAAAAGUACUCGAUCUUCUUACUGUUGGAAGUCGUAGAUUAAUGACAAGAUUUGGAACCGUAUUUAGUCAGUUUUAUUUUCUGCAAGAUACAUCUGCAGUUCUAUUAACCUACCUCAGGUGGAUGCAGUCUCGCUUUGCUUUAAAAGAGUCAACUUUCUAGUAGUUGUUUUGUGUAUGUAUUGUCUAAAUUGUGACUCUAUGGUUAUCUUCUGGUUGUAUCCUAAAUAUGGAAUUUAGCAAUUAUGUUGACAAUCACAUGCCUGUUAACAUGUCCAUAUAAGAAAAUAAUCAUAAUUUUUGUGUUUGAAAUCCCUUCUUCUAAUGCUUCUUCAUCUUUUGUCUGUAGAACCUGUCGAUAGUACUAGUUUUCUCUAUUUUCCUCAUCAGUAUUGUAUUCAUCAUGCAGAAUCUUUCAAAGACUGUCAAGAAAAUAACUUCAUUCUCAUUACUUUUACAUGGUAGUUGAUUUUCUUCUUCCUCUCCUCAACUGUUGAGGAAAGGGAGAUUUCACAGAAUUUCUGGAUUCAGGUGAUCAACCCUGUUUCGUAGUUUAGUUGAAGGGAGAGUAAUACAUAGAAUCAAAAAAGAUUCAACGAUGAAAAUAUUCUCAUUAUAAACUCAUCAAGGCUAGUGUUUUUACAAGAAAUCUCUAGCCAACCUUCCUGCAAGAACUGGAAAGGUAUAAUUGCAUCAGUCCUUCCAAUCAAGCAAACGACCAACGAUUGCCAUCAAAGCAAGCAGUAUAGACUAUAGACUUGCAGGAUCAAGUGGGAACUUGACAGAUGACAGUAUUUUAAUAUCUCAUUGGAGGAUUUACCUUUUGUAGAAGAAGCCAGCAUAGCUUGUCAGCAAAACUUGUAACUUCCAACAGUCUUAUUCCAUCAAGUAUCAACUUUCAUCAUUUCUUUCUGUGUAUUCCUCUACAAUUUUCAAUUCACCUCUCUUCCCUAAUCAUGCAAAAGGUAGAGUAUGCUUGCCUGCUUGGGUUUAUUUUCUUGUCUCAUCACCCCCAUGAUAGAUGCAUCUGUCCUGCCAUUGUGUCAAAAGUUAUACUUCUUUCCACCCUUUGGAAGAAUGUUAUGCUGGAUUGCUGUUAAUUGUGGCAUGAGGUAGUGAUUCCAAUGGCAUCUAUCUUCGUAUAGCCGUCACAAGUCAGUCCAGAAAGAUAAUUCCACUCAGGUUAAUCUCAUCCAAUUUCGGUUCCUUUCCUGACUGUCAUAGGCAGCUUUAGUUCUUAGGAAAAGCAGAAAACUAGAUGCUACUCCCAAUAAAGAGAUGCAUCCCCACCACAUAAAUGUCUGAAUGUAACAGUUCCUACCCAUGCAAACUUUUGAUCCAUCCAAUACAAGCACUUGGUCUGGUUUCCCUAGGUUUGCUUCAUAGACUAUAGCUGCAAGAAGUCCAUAGAGUAGUGAUCCCAGAGGGAUGUUGGUAAUGAGAAUGUUGUGAUUGACUCCGGCACUGUUGGGGCCGAACAGCUCAGAGGUUAUUGACACUGCUGCUGAAAAUACAAAACCAGAGCUCAACCCAACUAAUGCUGUGGCAGCACUCAAUGCAGCUUUGCUUCCUGAUAAAACAAGCAGAAAGAAGGCCAGUGGUGUAGGAAUCAGUGCAAAUGCAAGCCACGCGGUCCUUGCAUAGUUCAUCUUGCUGCAUCCAAAAAACCAUUUCAGCUGUCAGUUUUUUUCCUAUGAUGGUGAUUAAGAACAGUAAAUCUUGAAAUACUUACUUGCGUAGAAAGUCUGGGGCGGCUGAAAGCAGGCGCCCGAAGAAGGAACAUGCAGAAUAGAGUGCAACAAAGAAGCUGAUCUCCGAUCUAUAUCCAAGUGACUCUGAAAUUUGGCCUAGAUUGUUGCUGUAAACAAGUACGAGUGUUCCCCCACAGAAAUAUGCUAGGUAAUAUAGCCAGAAAUCCAACCUACACAUGAGCAGACUUGCUGAAUGUUCCUCUCCAAGCAGCAACAAACGAUCUCUCAACAGAAAACUGCUAGUCCAACUUCCCUUCUCUUUUGAACCAUCAGAAUUUUCCAUCCAAACAUUCAUACUUGAAGCCUCUUUCCAAAUCAAUUCAUUGAGCAUCUCAAGAUCAUCAGUAUCAUUGUCUUCAAGUGAAAUAUAAUUAGGAUGGAACAGUUCAGACCAUUCUUCUGUGCAGAUAACCCCUGGUGCAAUCACCGGUAGGACCAGCAAGAACACUGCGCCAGCCAAGAGGAUACGAGCUGUCUGUGCACUAUAUGAGACCGAGUUUAGAAUUAAGAGAUAAAGGCCGGUAAACACUGCUAGUAUGGUAAGACAGCGGAAAUUGAGAUAUUCUCUGUGAACAGAAUCAGCACGAAGGGUUUGAGAUCGAGGUUGCCAGAGGAUUGGAAGAGCUGCAAUUGAUGUGACAAGGGGGACUAGGCCAUUAAGAAGAAGGUACAGAGUGUCAUCUUUGGAAUUAAUGGCAUUGGCAAUGAGGUUGUACAGGGCCGCACUUGCACCAUUGAAACUUAUGCUGAGGGACAAUGCAAUUGGCCUAUUUACCGAGAAAUGUUUGAUGCACAACACAUAGCAUACUGUAUUAAACCAGCAGAUACUGCAGCCAGCCAGCACACACAACAGAAAUACCUGCAAGAUUUAUCAGUGAAAGCUUGAGAACAGGAUAGGAUCCCAACGAAGUUUCAAGCGCAGUGAAGUAGAGAGCUGAAGAAAAUAAUCUUGUAAUAUCUUGAAUUUCUGCAGUUUUCAAUUUCAGUUGAUUACUAAGGCAACUUUCUCAAGAACCACUUGAAUCUUGAAGUUUUUUAAGAUUUGCAUAGAAGUUUUCAAGCACCAAAUUUUAACUGACUAGAAUGGAAAGUGAUUGAGGAUAAGAUGUUCUCCUUGGAGGCAGUCCCUGUAUAGUUGUUAACAGAAAAGACCUUUCAGCUAAUGAGAAACCUCAUAAAUGAUAAAUUAAGUUAAUUUGCCUUCUACAUAUCAUUUAACUUCACUUGAUGGACAUUCUUGGUUUAUUUUAGAGGAGAUUAUUUGAUUAGUACUUCAAAGGGGGUUGUCCAAAAGUCAUUUCUAGAUCUAAUAAAGUUUGCAAAAUUCUUGUGGUAGCUCCAACAACUGUCAACCACCAGUCCACCAAAUAAUCCAGAGAGAAGAAAUUCAUACAGGGAAAGAAGCAAGCAAUGGAUAUACAGGGAACAGCAAAAAAAUGGAUUAAGUUCCCAAAUUUCAUUUCCAAUCAAGAAAAGAGAGGUGAGAGAAGAAACUGA
This 3323-nucleotide long non-coding RNA is filed under the name Solanum tuberosum (potato). RNAcentral's name for it is "long non-coding RNA (STUB_LNC002115)". Lineage: Eukaryota; Viridiplantae; Streptophyta; Magnoliopsida; Solanales; Solanaceae. The record is from RNAcentral.